UCAUCCUGGGAUUAGAUACCCCACUAUGCUUAGCCCUAAACAUAGAUAAUUUUACAACAAAAUAAUUCGCCAGGGGACUACUAGCAAUAGCUUAAAACUCAAAGGACUUGGCGGUGCUUUAUAUCCCUCUAGAGGAGCCUGUUCUAUAAUCGAUAAACCCCGAUAAACCUCACCACCUUUCGCUAAUUCAGUCUAUAUACCGCCAUCUUCAGCAAACCCUCAAAAGGUAGAACAGUAAGCACAAUCAUUUUACAUAAAAAAGUUAGGUCAAGGUGUAACUUAUGAGGUGGGAAGAAAUGGGCUACAUUUUCUACCCAAGAACAUUUCACGAAUGUUUUUAUGAAAUUAAAAACUGAAGGAGGAUUUAGUAGUAAAUUAAGAAU
This 383-nucleotide ribosomal RNA is filed under the name Canis lupus familiaris (dog). RNAcentral describes it as "partial small subunit ribosomal RNA". It matches the Rfam family "Bacterial small subunit ribosomal RNA", at positions 767 to 1355 of the family's 1533-position model. The record is from RNAcentral. Lineage: Eukaryota; Metazoa; Chordata; Mammalia; Carnivora; Canidae.